CCCGCUGAACUUAAGCAUAUCAAUAAGCGGAGGAAAAGAAACUAACAAGGAUUCCCCUAGUAACUGCGAGUGAAGCGGGAAAAGCUCAAAUUUAAAAUCUGGUGGUCUUUGGCCAUCCGAGUUGUAAUUUAGAGAAGCGUCUUCCGCGCUGGACCAUGCAUAAGUCUCCUGGAAUGGAGCGUCAUAGAGGGUGAGAAUCCCGUCUUUGGCAUGGACCCCCAGGGCUUCUGUGAUGCGCUCUCAAAGAGUCGAGUUGUUUGGGAAUGCAGCUCAAAAUGGGUGGUGAACUCCAUCUAAAGCUAAAUAUUGGCGAGAGACCGAUAGCGAACAAGUACCGUGAGGGAAAGAUGAAAAGCACUUUGGAAAGAGAGUGAAACAGUACGUGAAAUUGUGNAAAGGGGAAACGCUUGAAGUCAGUCGCGUCGACCGAGACUCAGCCUUGCCUUGGCUUGGUGUACUUCUCGGCUGACGGGUCAGCAUCAAUUUCGAUCCUUGGNAUAUGGCAAGGGAAAGGUAGCACCUUUAUAGGUGUGUUAUAGUCCUCUGUCGGAUGCAAGGGUUGGGAUUGAGGAACUCAGCAUGCACCUUGUCGGUGUCGGGGCCUUGGCCCACGUUUACAUGCUUAGGAUGCUGGCAUAAUGGCUUUAAACGACCCGUCUUGAAACACGG
Molecule: ribosomal RNA, 669 nt
Filed under: uncultured fungus
Lineage: Eukaryota; Fungi
Description: eukaryotic LSU rRNA
Rfam family: Eukaryotic large subunit ribosomal RNA
Source: RNAcentral